RNAcentral lists this long non-coding RNA (218 nucleotides) under Nicotiana benthamiana. RNAcentral describes it as "long non-coding RNA (NBEN_LNC000730)". The record is from RNAcentral. Lineage: Eukaryota; Viridiplantae; Streptophyta; Magnoliopsida; Solanales; Solanaceae.
AAGAAAUAUUAGCAUGUUUAGACCACCUAGACAUGAAUCUCGAAAAUUACAUGAAAAUAAUUUUCAGAAAAAUAGGAUGAAUAAAUUUAGAUCCUCUAAUUACUAUCAUCCUAGGAAAAUGCCUAAUCCAAACGUGAUUUGUCACUAUUGCAAUCAGAUUGGUCAUAUUGCUCCCGUUUGCUUUACAAGACAUAGGCAUAAUAGCCAAUCACAACAUU